Molecule: long non-coding RNA, 967 nt
Filed under: Papio anubis (olive baboon)
Lineage: Eukaryota; Metazoa; Chordata; Mammalia; Primates; Cercopithecidae
Description: lncRNA (ENSPANG00000042173.1)
Source: RNAcentral
GGAAGAGCGAAUGAACUGAGUUUUUAUUUACUUUCAGUUUAUAUAAAUACAAAUUUAAAUAACCACAUAUGGUUAGUGGCUACCAUAUUGGAUAGCCCAAGUUCAUAUGGCUAGCCAAGAUCAGAAGUAAGGAUCCAAUCCCAGAAAUUAUCUGGCUCCAAAAUCAUGCUUUAAAUAUUAAAAUACUAGGAUAGGCAUGGCAACUCACACCUUUAAUCCCAGCAGUUUGACAGCCUGAGGUGGGAGGAUGGCUUGAGCUAAGGAGUUUGAGACCAGCCUGGACAACAAAGUGAGACUCUGCCUCUUCAAAAAAACUUAAAAAAAAAAAAAAAAAAAAAGAGCCAGGUCUGGUGGUACACACCUGUAUUCCCAGCUACAGUGCAGGCUGAAGGAGGAGGCUCAUGUGAACCUGGGAAGUUGAGGUUGCAGUGAGUCAUAAUAGCACCACCACACUCCAGCUUGAGUGACAGAGCAAGCCCUUAUGUCAAAAAAAAAAAAAAAAAAAAAAGGGUAGUACUAGUUGUGAUGGUGUACCCUAAAGAAUGUUAUCAUGUUUGCAUCAUUAGAGCUUCCCAGUUAGAGUGCUUACAACUCCUUUCUUGUCUAUAAGCCUAGAAGAGCAUAAUGCGUGUCCCCUAGCAAUCUACCACUGAAACUACUAUUUGUGUAGGCAGUGCUGUCUACUAUGGACAUUUUAGUAUUAGAACUCCCUGGUGAUGCCCAGUAAGCUAACCAAAUGUGGAGGGAAGAAGCAAAGCUGGUAGAAAACGAUUGGUGCUGGAUAUUUUUGAUUUGUCCCUCCAGAUUCACUCUCCAUUUUUAUCUACUCUGUUCUGGUCUCAGGGAGCUGAUACUCUAUGGACCACUUCCUUACCCCCUGGCUUCUGGUUGGAUCCAGCCAGUGAAAGACUCUGGUGGGAACUGGAAAGAUGUUUUGAAAAUCACUACUAAAUCUACCUUGGGCUGA